AUGAAAGUUAUCUCAUGGAACUGUUGGGGGCUUGGGAACCCCGCGGCAGUUCGUAGCCUUCUGGAACUCCAGAAGGCCGAAGAGCCUGACAUCCUCUUCCUCUCGAAAACCAAAAUGACCGAGAAGGAAGUGGAUUUCUUGAGGUGGAGAUUGAAUAGGGUGAACAUGGUGGCGGUGAACUGUGUGGGGAGGAGUGGUGGGCUGGUGCUUUUUUGGAGGAGAGGGAUAGAUGUUCAGUUAAGAUGGAAGAGGAAAUACCACAUUACUAUUGAUGUGGUGCAGGAGGAUGGCAGCAAAUGGAGGUUCACCGAGGUGUAUGGAGAGUCAAAGGCGGAGGAUAAGGAGAGUACAUGGAGGGCUCUUCGAAAUCUGCAUGGGCAGGACAAGCUAGCGUGGGUUUGCAUGGGUGAUUUUAAUGAAAUAUUAUUUGCGGGAGAGAAGGAAGGAGGGCCGGCUCGGGCCCAGGGAAGCAUGCAAGCCUUCAGAAGAACCUUGGAACACUGUGAGCUUGAGGACUUGGGCUUUGUCAGCGACCCGUUCACAUGGAGAAAUAACUGGAGAGACACGAUCGGGUAUACAAAGGAGCGACUGGAUAGGGCAGUAGCAAAUGUUGAGUGGAGGUGCUUGUUUCCAUUGCACAAAAUCAUUAACAGGGAUCCGAGACAUUCUGACCACCGCCCCGUUAUUGCUGAACUAAAUGCGCAAGAUAAAUCCCUGGGCGUUGGAAGGGGUCAAAGAUGUUUCUGCUUCGAGGCAUGGUGGCUACAGGAGGAAGGGUGUCAUGAGGUUGUGGAGGAGGCAUGGAAUAAUGCGUUCUAG
This 819-nucleotide ribosomal RNA is filed under the name Triticum aestivum (bread wheat). RNAcentral's name for it is "partial small subunit ribosomal RNA". The record is from RNAcentral. Lineage: Eukaryota; Viridiplantae; Streptophyta; Magnoliopsida; Poales; Poaceae.